AGCAUCCUCUUCAUACAGUAGCUUUGGAAACUACCAGCAUGUGCUUGCUAUCAGACUGUAAACAAGGACUUGCCUCCAGAAAAUAAUGGGAAGAAUGGUUAAGCCAUUUGUCUCUGAACAUGGAAUGAGAUAAACUUCAAGAUGCUGUUCUCUAUUUUUAUGCUAUUGGACCAAUGAGCUGAAUGAAUAAUUAAGAUGUAACAGUUCAAUACACAGGAAUGUGAUUGUAUCCAUCAACCUCAGUUCUCUCACUCCAGUAUUACAUUCUGCAAAUGUCAUUCUGUUGUGUCAGGACUGCUUUUCAUAAGGUUCUUCGGGCACGAAGUAGAAACCCAGUGGCAAAUUCCAAGGCUCCUUUGACUAGGGCUUCAAAAUAAUGUCUUCACAGAAUGGUACCUUCUAGCGACUGGCCUAUUUUUAUUGAGAAAAAAACUUGUUCUAUUUUUGUUGUUGUUACUGUUCUUAUGGAUUGCAUUCAUAUUUAAACCCUUUGGAUUGCUAACCAGAGUACCUCUAUUCUUGGCAAAUUCCGCAGUUUAUUACAGGUGUUUAAAGUAUUUUAAACAAAACUCUGAAUUUCUUUAGUUAGCCUAAGAGUUGGCUUCUAGUCACAAAGAUACAGCUGCCACACUGUGACGAAGAGCACCUUAGAAAGAAAAGCAGCAAGUGAGCGGUGAGCAAGUAAGCACCGUGCAGUCUUCGUUCUCUGUAGUCUUGUCUUCCAAAUAGAACGUCCAUCGUAGUUACCCAAAGGUGGUAUUUGUGGUGUUCUUAAUGCAGUGCUUUAAGUCUAGUGUAUGUUCUGUCAGCUUGAACUGGAAUCUCUCUUGUAACUUUGUAGGUUAUAAACAUAUCUCAUAUCUGCUU
Molecule: long non-coding RNA, 867 nt
Filed under: Mus musculus (house mouse)
Lineage: Eukaryota; Metazoa; Chordata; Mammalia; Rodentia; Muridae
Description: long non-coding RNA chr13:90104424-90105291
Source: RNAcentral